This is an RNA transcript of Vicia villosa (hairy vetch), 25032 nucleotides long. RefSeq lists it as uncharacterized. The record is from RefSeq and is a predicted model, not a curated record. Lineage: Eukaryota; Viridiplantae; Streptophyta; Magnoliopsida; Fabales; Fabaceae. The transcript is spliced from 19 exons.
GUUUUAUGUAUACCGUUGACGAAUAUAAAUUAAAUCUUUUUAAUAUACAAGUAAUAGGUAAAAGUGCUAGAUAGAAAUUUCUGGAAGAAAAAUAAGGUGUAGAUAGACGCGUUGUUGGGCCCAUGAAAUAUAACCCGAUCCAAUUGGCAUUGCAUUGUUUAUACCCGACCCAAAUUUAUUAAGCCCUAAUUAGUAACUACAAUUAUCUAUUGUUUCAUUCUCUUAUAUUCGCUUUGUUCUGCGUUCAGUUUUGGGAUGAAGAAUUCAGAAAGUUGUUCAGGCAAUUUCGUUUUCAACACAGCAAUUGAUUUUACAGAGGUUUCUUGGAUUGUAAUAUAGAGGGAAAAGAAAAGCGAAGUGAUGAUAGAAAUUCAUUUGUCGGUCAAUCCGCUGAUAUUCUUUGAUGUUAAUUCAUGGAUCCCAACAGGUUCUGAUCGCUUUCAUAUUUCCCUUUCUUGCUUGAUUUCUUGAUUUCCCGAGUUUCUCGAUUUGUUGAAUCAAUUAUUUAGGGUUUUUGAAUUGUUAUCAGAAUUGGGCAAAUGAUGAAUCUAACAUUGUGUAAAUGGGUAAUUUGCAUCUGAUUAUGGUUGAUGUUAAUAUCACCUUGGAGAACUGUUGCCCUAAAUUCUAUGGAUUUUUAUGUUUCUUAGUUUGUUUCUGUGUUUUGAUCCCUAUAAUUAAUUGGUCAUUGCUACAUGAAUGGAUCACUAGAUUUGCGAUUGAAUUCUAUUAUUAUUGUCCCUUAAUUGGCACUAAUAACACUGUCAUAGUUGAAUUUUGAGGGGAGGUAAUUGAAAUGUUGGUUGUGAUUGCGAGAGAUCGAAGAAUCCUGACCCGAAUAACAUAAAUUUCAAUUUUUAAUUAAGUAGUUUUGGGAAAGCGUAUUUUCACAUAUUUAUUGCUGAAUUUCAUUUUAAUGGCAAAAUAGUGUGUUUAGUUAAUAAUGCUUUUUUAGCAUUGAUUACAAAGAUUGAAAUUCUGUGGCGUUAAAACAUUCCAAUGUCAAAAUAGUGUGUUGAGCUAAUAAUGCGUUUUUAGCAAUGAUUCCAAAGAUUGAGAAUUCGGUGACAUUAAACUAUUCUAAUGGCAAAAUAGUGUGUAGAGCUAAUAAUGCUUUUGUAGCAUUGAUUCCAAAGAUUGAGAAUUCGAUGACGCUAAACUAUUCUAAUGGCAAAAUAAUGUGUAGAGCUAAUAAUGCUUUUGUAGCAUUGAUUCCAAAGAUUGAGAAUUCGGUGACGCUAAACUAUUCUAAUGGCAAAAUAGUGUGUAGAGCUAAUAAUGCUUUUGUAGCAUUGAUUCUAAAGAUUGAGAUUUCGGUGACGCUAAAGUAUUCUAAUGCCAAAAUAGUGUGUAGAGCUAAUAAUGUUUUUUUUACCAUUAAUUCCAAAGAUUGAGAAUUCUAAUGGCAAAAUAGUGUGUAGUGCAUAAUAACUUUUUUUUUUCUUUGGCUCAUAUUCUGGUUUUCUGUUUGCAAAAUAGUGUGUAGUGGACAAGCUGUAAGUUAUAUUUUGUGUUGCUUUCGGGAGUAGUAUCUCAUGCAUGGGAUUUGUAUUCUAAUGGCAUAUAUUAUGCCUUGCAACUUUUUCUUGAAUUUAAUGUUACGGCCUUUUAAAAAAAUAAUUGAUAUUCAAUCAAUAUCCACCCAAAAAGCUAAAAUGGUUUUAUGUAAAACCAAAUUGUCAAAACAACAACUAGAAUGUCUGAACAUCUUGAUGAAUCUAGUUGGGCAAAUGAUGAAUCUGACAUGGUGUAAAUGGGUAAUUUGCAUCUGAAUAUCUUGAUGUUAAUAUAACCUUGGAAGAAAACUGAUGGCCUAAGUUCUAUGGAUUUUUUUGUUUGUUAGUUUGUUUCUGUGUUUUGUUCUCUGUUUUUUUGGAUCCAUCUAAUCUAAAAUGACCUUAGCAUUAAAAUUAUCAUAGUACUAGAAUGAAUUGGUUAUUGCUACAUGGAUGGAUCACUUGAUUUGUGAUUGAAUUAUAUUAUAUUGUCCCUUCAUUGGCACUAAUGACACUGUCAUAGCUGAAUUUAGAAAGGAGGUAAUAGAAAUGUUGGUUGUGAUUGCGAGAGAUUGAAGAAUCCUGACCCGAAUAACAGAAAUUUAAAGUUUAUUAAGUAGUUUUUGGAAAGCGUACUUUCACAUAUUCAUUGCUGAAUUUCAUUUUAAUGGCAAAAUAGUGUGUUGUGUUAAUAAUGCUUUUUUAGCAUUGAUUCCAAAAAUUGAGAAUUCUGUGGCGUUAAAAAAUUCCAAUGUCAAAAUUGUGUGUUGAGCUAAUAAUGCGUUUUUAGCAUAGAUUCCAAAGAUUGAGAAUUCGGUGACGCUAAACUAUUCUAAUGGCAAAAUAAUGUGUAGAGCUAAUAAUGCUUUUUAAGCAUUGAUUCCAAAGAUUGAGAAUUCGGCGACGCUAACCUAUUCUAUUGGCAAAAUAGUGUGUAGAGCUAAUAAUGCUUUUUUAGCAUUGAUUCUAAAGAUUGAGAAUUCGGCGACGCUAACCUAUUCUAUUGGCAAAAUAGUGUGUAGAGCUAAUAAUGCUUUUUUAGCAUUGAUUCUAAAGAUUGAGAAUUCGGUGACGCUAAACUAUUCUAAUGGCAAAAUAGUAUGUAGAGCUAAUAAUGCUUUUCUAGCAUUGAUUGCAAAGAUUGAGUAUUCGGUGACGCUAAAGUAUUCUAAUGGCAAAAGUGUAGAGCUAAUAAUGCUUUUUAAGCAUUGAUUCCAAAGAUUGAGAAUUCGGUGACGCUAACCUAUUAUAUUGGCAAAAUAGUGUGUAGAGCUAAUAAUGCUUUUUUAGCAUUGAUUCUAAAGAUUGAGAAUUCGGUGACGCUAAACUAUUCUAAUGGAAAAAUAGUAUGUAGAGCUAAUAAUGCUUUUCUAGCAUUGAUUCCAAAGAUUGAGAAUUCGGUGACGCUAAAGUAUUCUAAAGGAUUAAUAAUGUUUGUCAAUCCACUGAUAUUCUUUGAUGUAAUUCAUGAAUCCCGACAUGUUCUGAUAGCUUUCAUAUUUCUCUCUUGUGCUUGAUUUGUUUAUUUCUUGAGUUUCUCAAUUUUGUGAUGCAACUUUACCAAUUAUUUUUAGUUUUUGAAUUGUUAUCAAAAUUCUGCAGAACUGAUAGAUUUCAUGUUAAUUUGCAAAAGAUUCACAUGGUCCAAAUUAGAUAUGGCUAAAUGAGUUGUAUUGGCAGAUUUAUAUUUUCAAAGGGAUGGUUUGUCAAUUGCCUAGAAUGUUUUCCAUGGUGUUUGGAUAAAACUAGUCAAUGUCCAAUUCUAAUUCUCGAGAAAAGGAGGAAUUGUGCACCAAAACCUUUAUGUGUACUCAAAUGUUGGAGUGAGUUGAAGUUCAGGGAUGGCGGUAUUCAUAUUGAAAGAAAAACUCAAGUGAAUUGGAAAAAAGGUGAAAGUACAUCAUUUUCUGAAGAGGAGAUCAAAGACAAAAGAGUAGCAUCAACACAUUUACUUGAAAUGUUGAAUCUGAAUUGUGGCAUAUUGUGACAAAAAUCACGCUCAAAAUAGCUUAGAAAAGGGGAUGCAAAUUCCAAGUUCUUUCUCGGGUGCCGGGUAAAUAGAAGAAAAAAUUUAAUAAGAUUAAUUCGAUUAAAUAGAUUGGGGUUCAAGAGAUAAAGGGUGAAGUUUUCAAUUAUUUCCCAAGUUUAUUCAAAAAGCAAAAGAGGGAAAGACUGUUUAUGCAUAAUUUUGAAUUUAAACACAUUAGAGAUGAUAAGCUUAGAGAGGAGGAAAUAAGAAAUGUUGUUUGGAAUUGGGAGAGUUCGAACAGCCCCGACUCAGAUAGCAUAAAUUUUGGGUUCAUUAAGGAGUUUUAAGAUGUAACUAAAGCGGACUUUCAUAGUCUCAUUGUUGAAUCUCAUUCAAUUGGUAAAAUAGUGCAUGGAGCUAAAUAAUGGUUUUUAGCAUUAAUUACCAAGAUUAAGAAUUUGGUUAAGCUAGACGGUUUUACGUCGAUAUCUUUAAUUGGCAGAAUGUAGAAAGUCUUAGCAAAGCUAUUGACAAAUAAAUUUAAGGUCGGAAAUACUUGGAUGUUUCUGAUGGUUGUAUUCAUAUAAGAAAGAAGUUAUUGAAAUUGGUGAUUAAUAUAGUGUCAGGAAGAUUGUUCAAGUGGAAUAAUUAGUGCUUAUCUACAUGUGGCCGAAUCAUCCUUCUAAACUUUGUUAUACGCAUUACGGGUCUAUUUCAUUUCUUUCUUUAAAGCUCUGAUAGAUAUUAUUUCUAAUUUGGGUCUAUUUCAUUUCUUUCUUUAAAGCUCUGUUAGACAUUAUUUCUAAUUUGACUCUCUUUAAAAAUUUCUCGUGGGUUGGAAGAUUGGAAAACAUAAAAAUAAUUCAAGGGUGUUCAACCAAACUCUAUUAGGAAAGUGUGUGGGUUAAGGUUUUAAAAAGUAAAUAUGGUGAAAUAUUUGGUAAAGGGAGUAAAAUUGAGAGAAUGAGGUCAGCUUGGUGGCAGGACAUAAAAAUGGUAGAAAGUGGGUCGUGGGACUUUAAAUUAAAUUGGUUCUUUGAAAGGUUGGGCAUGAAAUUAGGAAGUGGAGUUGAAUCACAUUUUUGGACUCCUUGAAUAAAAGGAAAAAUCUUGAAAAAGAGGUUAGUGGUACUGUUUGAUUUAUAAUCAAGAACAAAAAUGCUUCAUUUAAGGCAUUGGUGAUUCAUUUGACUGAGAAUGUAGAAUUAUUCAUUUCAUUUGACUGAUUUUCUUGUAAAAUCAUGUGGCAAUAGUAUUUUAAAGGGACAUGAGAUUAUAGUUGUCUAAUGUUGCAGAGUUGGCAAGUGAUAAUACAUAGAGGGAAAAGAAAAGCGAUAUGAUGAUAGAAAUUCAUUGUCUGUCAAUCCACUGAUAUUCUUUGAUGUAAUUCAUGAAUCCCGACAGGUUCUGAUCGCAUUCAUAUUUCCCUCUUGUGCUUGAUUUGUUUAUUUCUUGAAGAAAAGCAGGGGCUAUAUUGAAUCUAUGGUCAUUGUAUUUCGUCAGUCCUCUUCCAAAUCCAGAUAGAGAUUCGAGAACAUUGCGACUAGUCCGAUGAAACUCGCAAGUGCAGUAUAGCUCGAGAAAUGAGAUACAUGUCGCGACUGGUUCAAACAAGAUGAUGCAACUCAGAAGCUCGAGACAGGAUGUGACUAUAAGUCGGAAGGACUCACAAUCUCCAAUACCCGGUAACAUUGACCGAUCCCACAAAUAAGCUUUUUAACAUAUACUAUGUAUUGAUGCAGUAAUGUUUUUGCUGGUUAAACAUUUGCGAGCUAAUAAUUACAAAACAUAUAAUAAAUAUUCAUGUGCUGUCUGACCUGAGUUAUUUGAUUCUUUUGUUGUUUGUAAUGGAUUUUGAUUUUGCCAUGUUUACCUGCACAUAUGAGUAAUGGUAGAGAAGAUGGAUAUCAAAUGAAUUUGGUUCACUUAUUGAGUAUGUUGAAACAGCUUUUGGGAGAAAUCUCCGUCAAAGUUUCACUUAUGGCGUAAAUUUACAUCGUAUAAUUUAGUCGGUUUGCGAAUUCUUAUCGAGUAGUGUUCUUGAGCAGAGGGGGUCUGAUUAUUAUAGGUGAAAUGGAUGGACAAUGUUCUGUGUUUGUAGAAUGUGCAGUUGCAUAGAGCUGCUGUGAAUGUUUUGCGUCACUCAAAGCUCCCAGAUCGGGAUGACAUCGACUCACAAUGAAAACCAUAGUGGCAAUGUGAUGCCGAUGUCGACGAUAAAGUUUGUUAGGGCAGAUCUGUGAGUGGAGGUGAGACAUGAAUCCCCAUGUUAAUAUUGCUGAUACCGCCAUUUGGAAGAUAAUUAUUUCUCACACAUUCUAUUCACAUAGUAUGAUUAACUAUUAUUUGUUUACAAUGCUUUGUUUGAUGAUCCAAUGUCAUAUAACUCAACUUACAAUGUCUAUGUGUUAUCUAUAUGUUGUGGUGUCGAUUUCUGUAUGUCUUGCAAUGCAUUUUGAUUUUAGAGUUACAUUUGGAAGAUUGUGAAAAUUGUUGGGACUAACAGGAUGGCUGGGAAAUCAAAUCAAAUAUCUCCUGUCUCUAUUCAUCUCAGUAUCUACCUGCCAAGUGUUGUCAAUUUGAUGCCGGUAGAUCUGCCUAUUUUUGCAAAGGUCGCAGUAGAGGGACAACCAGAAGUAAGCAUCCGUGAUGACAACGACUACAUAUCGAGUCUCAUAGGAGGAGAAAUAAAGAAUGCAAUGAUCGGAGAUAACAAGUCAAGCUCUAAUGUCAUCGUAAAAGAGUCGGAUUGAAAAUAACAAUGACAGUCUUAAAUUGCCGACAUAUGGUAGAUGGAAUACUCAUAGCAAAUGAGUUAGUAAAUGAGGUUCAAAGUGGAUUUAAAAAAAGUAUAUGACUUUCUGGACUGGAAAUACUUGAAUUUUGACAGGAUUUAACGUUAAAUGGAGAUGCUGGAUUUCAGAGUGUCUUUGAUCAUCAACUAUUUUAGCGUUGGUCAAUGGAAGUCUCACAAAAAAUUCCGAAGAUGGUAAAGGUCUAUCGCCUUUUUAUAUUUUUGUGUGUUUAGUUCCAUAGAGGUGAUGUUCACUUCUCGCAUAUGCAGUAUGCAAAUGAUACCUUAAUUGUGGGAAAAAGUUGGCAACACAUGAGGGCCAUGAUGGCAAAUUUACAGUUAUUUGAGUUAAUAUCUGGUCUUUAAAUAAACUUUCAUAAAAGUCUUUUAGUUUGAGUCAGAUGAAUCAGUGAAUCAAAUUUUAAGGUUGGAAAUACUUGAAUGUUUCUAUGGUUGUAAUCAUAGAAGAAAGAAGUUAUUUAAAUUGGAGAUUAAUAUAGUGUCAGGAAGAUUGUCCAAGUGGAAUAAUUAGUGCUUAUCUACAUGUGGCCGAAUCAUCCUUCUAAACAUUGUUAUACGCAUUACCGGUAAAUUUCAUUUCUUUCUUUAAAGCUCAGAUGUUAUUUCUAAUUUGAUUCUCUCUUUAAAAAUUUCUUGUGGGUUGGAAGAUUGGAAAGCAUAAAAAUAAGUCGGGUUCAUUGGAAAAAGGUAUGCUAGGGAAGAGAGGAGGGGGGAUCUAGGUAUACAAAAUUCAAGGGUGUUCAACCUAACUCUAUUAGGAAAGUGUGUGGGUUAAGAUUUUAAGAAGUAAAUAUGGUGAAAUCUUUGGUAAAUUGAGAGAAUGGGGUCAGCUUGGUGGCAGGACAUAAAAAUUUUAGAAAGUGGGUCGUGGGACUUUAAAUUACAUUGGUUCUUUGAAAGGUUGUGCAUGAAAUUAGGAAGAGGAGUUGAAUCACAUUUUUGGACUCCUUGGAUAAAAGGAAUAAUCUUGAAAAAUAGGUAAGUGGUACUGUUUGAUUUAUAAUCGAGAACAAAAAGGCUUCAUUUAAGGCAUUGGUGAUACAUUUGACUAGAAUUAUUCAUUUCAUUUGACUGGUUUUCUUCUAAAAUCAUGUGGCAAUUGUAUUUUAAGGUGACAUGAGAUUAUAGUUGUCUAAUGUUGUAGAGUUGACAAGUGAUAAUACAUAGAGGGAAAAGAAAAGCGAUAUGAUGAUAUAAAUUCAUUUGUCUGUCAAUCCUGUCAAUCCACUGAUAUUCUUUGAUGUAAUUCAUGAAUCCCGACAGGUUCUGAUCGCUUUCAUAUUUCCCUCUUGUGCUUGAUUUGUUUAUUUCUUGAGUUUCUCAAUUUUGCGAUGUAACUUUAUCAAUUAUUUUUGGUUUUUGAAUUGUUAUCAGAAUUCUGCAGCACUGAUAGAUUUCAUGUUAAUUUGCAAAAGAUUCACAUGGUCCAAAUUAGAUGUGGCUCAACAAUGAGUUGUAUUGGCAGAUUCAUAUUUUCAAAGGGAUGGUUAGUCAAAUGCCCAGAAUGUUUUCAAUGGUAUUUGGAUAAAACUAGUCACUGUCCAAUUCUAAUUCUCGAGAAAAGGAGGAAUUGUGCACCAAAACCUUUAUGUGUACUCAAAUGUUGGAGUGAGUUGAAGUUCAGGGAUGGCAGUAAUCAUAUUGAAAGAAAAACUCAAGUGACUUGGAAAAAAGGUGAAAGUACAUCAUUUUCUCAAGAGGAGAUCAAAGCCAAAAGAGUAGCAUCAACACAACUACUUGAAAUGUUGAAUCUGAAUUGUGGCAUAUUGUGACAAAAAUCACGCUCAAAAUAGCUUAGAAAAGGGGAUGCAAAUUCAAAGUUCUUUCUCGGGUGCCUGGUAAAUAGAAGAAAAGUUAAUAAGAUUAAUUCGAUUAAAUAGAUUGGGGUUCAAGAGAUAAAGGGUGAAGUUUUCAAUUAUUUCCCAAGUUUAUUCAGAAAGCAAAAGAGGGAAAGACUGGUUAUGCAUAAUUUUGAACUUAAACACAUUAGAGAUGAUAAGCUUAGAGAGGAGGAAAUAAGAAAUAAUGUUUGGAAUUGGGAGAGUUCAAACAGCCCCGACUCAUAUAGCAUAAAUUUUGGGUUUAUUAAGGAGUUUUAAGAUGUAACUAAAGCGGACUUUCAUAGUCUCAUUGUUGAAUCUCAUUCGAUUGGUAAAAUAGUGCAUGGAGCUAAAUAAUGGUUUUUAGCAUUAAUUACCAAGAUUAAGAAUUUGGUUAAACUAGAAGGUUUUACGUCGAUAUCUUUAAUUGGCAGAAUGUAGAAAGUCUUAGCAAAGCUAUUGACAAAUAAAUUGAUGGUGGCGGCUAAAUUUGUUUAUCUCUAAUUUGCAAUUCGUGUUCUUAGAAGGCUGGAAAAUCGUAGAUGGAAUAUUCUUAGCAAAUUAGUUAGUAGAUGAUUCAAAUAGGAGGAAGAAGCGUUGAUGUUUAAAGUUGAUUUGGACUGAAAAUAUUUGGACCGUGUGAUGGAAAAAAAAGGGAUUCAACGUUAAAUGGAGAGGUUUGAUUUCAGAGUGUCUUGGAACUUCAACUAUUUUAGUGUUGGUAGAUGGAAGCCUCAUAAAUGGCAAGACAAUCAGAUGAAUCUCUUGGAGGAUUAGCAGUUCAGUAGAAGAGAUGUUCACGUCUCGCAUAUGCAGUACGCAAAUAAUACUUUGAUUUUGCGGGGAAAAGUUGGCAAAACAUGAGGGCCAAGGCAAAUCUACAAUUAUUUAAGUUAAUAUAUGAUCUGAAAAUAAACUUUCAUAAAAGUAUUUAGUUGGAGUCAAUUCCACAAUAUUGGUAAGACGGAGCAGCAAAAGUAUUCAAUAAAACUACUUUCAAAUACUUGGGCAUUUCUACAUCAGUUAUUUUCAGAUAGAAGCAAUACCGAGAAGGUUGUCCAAGUGGAAUUACCGAUGCUUAUUUAUUGAUGGUUGAUUCAUCCUUCUGAAAUCUGUCUUGUAUGCCUUAAUUGUUUAUUUCCUUUCUUUCUUUGAAGCCCUGUGAGGGGGAAGGAGAAUGACGGUGUAUAAGUGCAAGGUGGACAGCUAGCUAUGAAAGAAGCGUGUCUGGUGGCAACAAUGGGUUGGAGAAUCAUGAUUUGGAAUAAGAAUAAGAAGUGCAUAAAAGAGGGAAGGAGGAAUGUGUGAUGCAGGAAAUUCGUGAGGUUCGUGAGGUUGUUCUCACAUCAGUAGCAUUGUUUUUGGUUACAUUUCGUCCAAGGAGAAUUACCUCCACCCAUUGAUCUGUUCCUCUUUCAAUAUACUGUUAUGGUUAAUUAGCACAACAGAAUUCAAUACAAUCGCCCCUUUUCUAGCAAGAGCAGUCACAUGUGAACAGAAGCUCUCCUUUGGUUACAAGUCUGCUACUGGCCUUAACUGAUUGAAGACCUUAAACUUCAGGAAUGCAAUCAAUGAGAUGGACUAAUUCCUCCAAAUUCCUGAUGUAGAUGUCCAAAUACUUGUGGAAGCUGUGAGUAUAUUUUCAUUUUCUGGGAUUGCAAUGCCGAGAAGGUUGUCCAAGUGGAAUAACCGAUUAGACAUGAGUUUGGAAAAUUGUGAUUGAAGCAAUGCCGAGAAGGUUGUCCAAGUGGAAUAACCGAUGCUUAUUUAUUGAUGGUCGAUUCAUCCUUCUGAAAUCUGUCUUGUACGCAUUAGUUGUUUAUUCCUCUUUUUUUCUUUGAAGCCCUGUGAGGUAUUAUUUCUAAUCUUAGUCUCUCUUUAAAAUUUUCUUAUGAGGUGAAGGAUUGGAAGGCAAAAAAAUAAGUUAGUUCAUUGGGAAAAGGUGUGCUAGGAAAGAGAGGAUGGCGGUCUAGGUAUAAAAAUUUAAGGGCGUUCAACCUAGCACUGUUAAGAAAAUAGGAAUGGAAAUUACCUAAGGUGACAUGGUUCAUUGGUUUUAUGUAAAAUUAAAAGUUGCAAAGUUGUAUUUUUAUGUGGCAAUUGUAUUUUAAGGUGACAUGAGAUUAUAAUUGUCUAAUGUUGUAAAAUUGACAAGUGAUAGGUACAUAUGUGAUAAUGAGUGAGAAUUAAAAGUUGGGAUAUAAGAUGAUGUAUUGGUGAAUUGCGAAUAGACGUGUGUUUGUGUGACAGUGAUCUCUUGUGAGUUGCUGUGUAAUGUCACUGCCGAGAAGAAAACUAUAAUCCUUAGAGUGUAAUUUCAAUGUGUUAAGAGAUAAUCAAUAGUGCUAAUAUGAAGAAAAUUAUAAGAUAGUAGAGUUACUAUCUAAUUAUUUAGCAUAGUAACUGUUCAUUGAUGUUUAUUUUGGCAAUUACCUAUAUUGUAAGAAAUUUGUUUACUUAAAUGUACUUAUACAAGCCUCCUAUUUCAUUUGGUUUAGUUAACGAUAAAUCUCGUGUUUUGACCGUUAGUUUGAGAUCCAUUCAGGGUCGGCUCCCCAUAUGCUUGAAUAAAAGCAGGGGCUAUAUUGAAUCUAUCAUUCUAUUGUCAUUGUAUUUUGCAGUCCUCUUCCAGAUCCAGAUAGAGAUUCGAGAACAUUGCCACCAGUUCGAUGAAACUCGCAAGUGCAGUAUAGCUCGAGAAAUGAGAUAUAUGUCGCGACUGGUUCAAACAAGAUGAUGCAACUCAGAAGCUCGACAUAGGGUGUGACUAUAAAUUGUAAGGACUCACGAUCUCCAAUACUCGGCAACAUUGACCGUUACUGACAAUCUCCAAUACCCGACAACAUUGACCGAUCCCACAGACAAGCUUUUUUACAUAUACUAUGUGGUGAUGCAGUAUGGUUUUUGCCGGAUGUACUGUCUGACUUGAGAUAUUGGUAGGAUGAAUGCUAAAUGUGAUUAUUUUUGUUGUUUGUAAUGGAUUUUGAUUUUGCCAUGGUUACCUGCACAUGUGAAUAAUGGUAGAGAAGAUGGAUAUUAAAUGAAUUUGGUUCACUUAUUGAGUAUGUUCAAACAGCUUUUGGGAGAAAUCUCCGUCACAGUUUCACUUAUCUGGCGUAGAAUUUGCAUCGUAUAAUUUAGUCGGUUUGCGAAUUGGAUCGAGUAAUGUGCAGUUGCAUAGAGCUGCUGUGAACGUCUUGCGUCACUCGAAGCUCCCAAAUCGGGAUGAAAUCGGCUCACAAUGAAAAUCAUAGUGCCAAUGUGAUGCCGAUGUCGACAAUAGAGUUUGUUAGGGCAGAUCUGCGAGUGGAGGUGAGACAUGAAUCACCAUGUUAAUACUGCUGAUACCACCAUUUGGAAGAGUUAUAUUUGGAAGAUUGUGAAAAUUGUUGGGACAAAUUAACACUGCUAUGAUUCGAAAAGAAAUUGAAGAUGACACUAACAGGAUGGCUGGGAAAUCAAAUCAAAUAUCUCCUACCGCCAUUUGGAAGAUAAGUAUUUCUCACACAUUCUAUUCACCUAGUAUGAUUAACUAUUGUUUGUCUACAACGCUUUGUUUGGUGAUCUAAUGUCAUAUAACUCAACUUACAAUGUGUAUGUGUUAUAUAUAUGUUGUGGUGUCUAUUUCAUUUGUAUUUUUUGUCUCUUUAGACUGCUGAUGAGUAUGAUCGCAGGAGAGAGAACUUUUUCAAUGAGCUUGAAAUCGUGUUCUCCGAUGUGGUCAUGGCUAUACUCGCAGAUUUCAUACUCGUUUAUCUUCCUGCACCUACUGUUUCUCUUAGACCACCACUUGGAGUUAGUGCAGGGGCAAUUUCUAAGUUUUCCCACAAUUGCCCAGAUAAUGCAUUCCAGGUUGCUCUCUCUGGAACAUCAUAUUCCUUGUUGCAGAGAUUUGGUGCAAUUGUGCGUAAUGGGUCCAAGCUUUUUGCAGUUGGAACUGGCGCAUCACUGGUUAGUUCUCAUUAUACUUGGGGUUUAAGUUUGGAAAUUUGUGAUUAAAGCAAUACCGUGAAGAUUGUCCAAGUGGAAUAACCGAUGCUUAUCUCUUGAUGGUCGAUUCAUCAUUCUAAAAUCUGUCUUGUACGCAUUAACUGUUUAUUUCCUUUCUUUCUUCGAAGCUCUGUGAGGUAUUAUUUCUAAUCUUGAGUCUCUCUUUAAAAUUUUCUUAGGAGGUGAAGGAUUGGAAAGCAGAAAAAUAAGUUAGUUCAUUGGGAAAAGGUGUGCUGGGAAAGAGAGGAUGGGGUCUAGGUAUAAAAAUAUAAGGGCGUUCAACUAGCACUGUUAAGAAAAUAGGAAUGGAGAUUACCUAAGGUGACACGGUUCAUUGGUUUUAUUUUAUGUAAAAUUAAAAGUUGCAAAGUUGUACUUUUAUGUGGCAAUUGUAUUUUAAGGUGACAUGCGAUUAUAGUUGUCUAAUGUUGCAAAGUUGACAAGUGAUAGGUACAUAUGUGAUAAUGAGUGAGAAUUAAAAGUUGGGAUAUAAGAUGAUGUAUUGGUGAAUUGAGAAUAGGUAUGUGUUUGUGGGACAAUGAUCUCUUGAGUUGCUGUGUAAUUUCACUGCUGAGAAGAAAACUAUAAUCCUAAGAGUGUAAUUUGAAUAUGUUAAGAGAAAAUCAAUAGUGCUAAUAUGAAGAAAAUUAUAAGAUAGUAGAGUUACUAUCUAAGUAUUUAGCAUAAGAACUGUUCCUUGAUGUUUAUUUUGGCAAUUGCCUAUAUUGUAAGAAAUUUGCUUACUUAAAUGUACUUAUACAAGCCUCCUAUUUCAUUUGGUUUAGUUCACGAUAAAUCUCGUGUUUUGACCGUUAGUUUGACAUCCAUUCAGGGUCGGCUCCCCAUAUGCUUGAAGACAAGUAGGGGAUAUAUUGAAUCUAUUGUCAUUGUAUUUUGCCAGUCCUCUUCCAGAUCCAAAUAGAGAUUGGAGAACAUUGCCACUAGUUCGAUGAAACUUGCAAGUGCAGUAUAGCUCGAGAAAUGAGAUACAUGUCGCGACUGGUUCAAACAAGAUGAUGCAAAUCAGAAGCUCGACACAGGAUGUGACUAUAAAUCGGCUCACAAUCUCCAAUACCCGACAACAUUGACCGAUCCCAGACAAGCUUUUUUACAUAUACUAUGUGGUGAUGCAGUAAUGUUUUUGCCGAUUAAACAUUUGCGAGCUAAUAAUUACAGAACAUAUAAUAAAUAUUCAUGUACUCUGACCCGAGUUAUUGGUAGGAUGAAUGCAAAAUGUGAUUAUUUUUAUUGUUUGUAAUUGAUUUUGGUUUUGUGAUGGAUAUUAAUGGUAGAGAAGAUGGAUAUUAAAUGAAUUUGGUUCACUUAUUGAGUAUGUUGAAACAACUUUUGGGAGAAAUAUCCGUCAAAGUUUCACUUAUCUUGCAUAGAACUUGAAUCGUAUAAUUUAGUCGGUUUGCGAAUUAUUAUUGAGUAGUGUUCCUGAACAGAGGGGGUCUGAUUAUUAUAGAUGAAUUGGAUCGACAAAAUUCUGUGUUUGUAGAAUGUGCAGUUGCAUAGAGCUGUUGUGAACGUUUUGCGUCACUCAAAGCUCCCAGAUCGAGAUGAAAUCGGCUCAUAAUGAGAGCCGUAGUGCCAAUGUGAUGCAGAUGUCGACGAUAAAGUUUGUUAGGGCAUAUAUGUGAGUGGAGGUGAGAUAUGAAUCACCAUGUUAAUACUGCUGAUACCGCCAUUUGGAAGAUAAGUAUUUCUCACACAUUCUAUUGACCGAGUAUGAUUAACUAUUGUUUGUUUACAAGGCUUUGUUUGGUGAUCUAAUGUCAUAUAACUCAACUUACAAUGUGUAUGUGUUAUCUAUAUGUUGUGGUGUCGAUUUCUGUAUGUCUUGCAAUGCAUUUUGAUUUUAGAGUUACAUUUGGAAGAUUGUGAAAAUUGUUGGGACAAAUUACCACGGCUAUGAUUCAAAAAGAAAUUGAAGAUAACACUAACAGAUGGCUGGGAAAUCAAAUCAAAUAUCUCCUAACUCUAUUCAUCUCAGCAUCUACCUGCCAAGUGUUGUCAAUUUGAUGCCAGUAGAUCUGCCUGUUUUAGCAAAGGUCGCAGUAGAGUGACAACCAGAAGGUAGUGACAUCUAAUGCUAUCAAAAUUCUUAAACAAAUUGAUCCUGCUGGUGAAAGAACAGUUGGUGUAACAUGAAUAGGCUAUUAUAUGUUGCAGGUUGUUUAUAUCACGAUAGUGGGUGAACUGAUACGCUAUUUGUAUGACGUGGCUAUGAUGUUUGAUUACUACUUUUAAAUGUUUACAGUGAGUAUCCGUGAUGACAACGACUACAAAUCGAGUCUCAUAGGAGGAGAACUAAAGAUUGCAAUGAUCGGAGAUGACAAGUCAAGCUCUAAUGUCAUCGUAAAAGAGUCGGAUUGAAAAUAACAAUGACAGGGUCGGCUCACCAUAUGCUUGAAGACAAGUAGGGGAUAUAUUGAAUCUAUUUUCAUUGUAUUUUGCCAGUCCUCUUCCAGAUCCAAAUAGAGAUUGGAGAACAUUGCCACCAGUUCGAUGAAACUCGCAAGUGCAGUUUAGCUCGAGAAAUGAGAUACAUGUCGCGACUUGUUCAAACAAGAUGAUGCAAAUCAGAAGCUCGACACAUGAUGUGACUAUAAAUUGUAAGGACUCACAAUCUCCAAUACUCGGCAACAUUGACCGUUACUGACAAUCUCCAAUACCCGACAACAUUGACCGAUCCCACAGACAAGCUUUUUUACAUAUACUAUGUGGUGAUGCAGUAUGGUUUUUGCCGGUUAAACAUUUACGAGCUAAUAAUUACAGAACAUAUAAUAAAUAUUCAUGUACUGUCUGACCUGAGAUAUUGGUAGGAUGAAUGCUAAAUGUGAUUAUUUUUGUUGUUUGUAAUGGAUUUUGAUUUUGCCAUGGUUACCUGCACAUGUGAAUAAUGGUAGAGAAGAUGGAUAUUAAAUGAAUUUGGUUCACUUAUUGAGUAUGUUCAAACAGCUUUUGGGAGAAAUCUCCGUCACAGUUUCACUUAUCUGGCGUAGAAUUUGCAUUGUAUAAUUUAGUCGGUUUGCGAAUUGGAUCGAGUAAUUUGCAGUUGCAUAGAGCUGCUGUGAACGUCUUGCGUCACUCGAAGCUCCCAGAUCGGGAUGAAAUCGUCUCACAAUGAAAAUCAUAGUGCCAAUGUGAUGCCGAUGUCGACAAUAGAGUUUGUUAGGGCAGAUCUGCGAGAGGAGGUGAGACAUGAAUCACCAUGUUAAUACUGCUGAUACCACCAUUUGGAAGAUAAGUAUUUCUCACACAUUCUAUUCACCUAGUAUGAUUAACUAUUGUUUGUUUACAACGCUUUGUUUGGUGAUCUAAUGUCAUAUAACCCAACUUACAAUGUGUAUGUGUUAUUUAUAUGUUGUGGUGUCUAUUUCUGUAUGUCUUACAAUGCAUUUUGAUUUUAGAGUUAUAUUUGGAAGAUUGUGAAAAUUGUUGGGACAAAUUAACACUGCUAUGAUUCGAAAAGAAAUUGAAGAUGACACUAACAGGAUGGCUGGGAAAUCAAAUCAAAUAUCUCCUACCGCCAUUUGGAAGAUAAGUAUUUCUCACACAUUCUAUUCACCUAGUAUGAUUAACUAUUGUUUGUUUACAACGCUUUGUUUGGUGAUCUAAUGUCAUAUAACUCAACUUACAAUGUGUAUGUGUUAUCUAUAUGUUGUGGUGUCUGUUUCUGUAUGUCUUACAAUGCUUUUUGAUUUUAGAGUUAUAUUUGGAAGAUUGUGAAAAUUGUUGGGACAAAUUAACACUGCUAUGAUUCGAAAAGAAAUUGAAGAUGACACUAAAAGGAUGGCUGGGAAAUCAAAUCAAAUAUCUCCUGCCGCCAUUUGGAAGAUAAGUAUUUCUCACACAUUCUAUUCACCUAGUAUGAUUAACUAUUGUUUGUUUACAACACUUUGUUUGGUGAUCUAAUGUCAUAUAACUCAACUUACAAUGUGUAUGUGUUAUAUAUAUAUGUUGUGGUGUCUAUUUCAUUUGUAUUUUUUGUCUCUUUAGACUGCUGAUGAGUAUGAUCGCAGGAGAGAGAACUUUUUCAAUGAGCUUGAAAUCGUGUUCUCCGAUGUGGUCAUGGCUAUACUCGCAGAUUUCAUGCUCGUUUAUCUUCCUGCACCUACUGUUUCUCUUAGACCACCACUUGGAGUUAAUGCAGGGGCUAUUUCUAAGUUUUUCCACAAUUGCCCAGAUAAUGCAUUCCAGGUUGCUCUCUCUGGAACAUCAUAUUCCUUGUUGCAGAGAUUUGGUGCAAUUGUGCAUAAUGGGUCCAAGCUUUUUGCAGUUGGAACUGGCGCAUCACUGGUUAGUUCUCAUUAUACUUGGGGUUUAAGUUUGGAAAUUUGUGAUUGAAGCAAUGCCGAGAAGAUUGUCCAAGUGGAAUAACCGAUGCUUAUCUAUUGAUGGUCGAUUCAUCAUUCUAAAAUCUGUCUUGAUUGGAAAAAGGUGUGCUGUUGUGAACGUUUUGCGUCACUCAAAGCUCCCAGAUCGAGAUGAAAUCGACUCAUAAUGAAAGCCGUAGUGCCAAUGUGAUGCAGAUGUCGACGAUAAAGUUUGUUAGGGCAUAUAUGUGAGUGGAGGUGAGAUAUGAAUCACCAUGUUAAUACUACUGGUACCGCCAUUUGGAAGAUAAGUAUUUCUCACACAUUCUAUUGAUCGAGCAUGAUUAACUAUUGUUUGUUUACAAGGCUUUGUUUGGUGAUCUAAUGUCAUAUAACUCAACUUACAAUGUGUAUGUGUUAUCUAUAUGUUGUGGUGUCUAUUUCUGUAUGUCUUACAAUGCAUUUUGAUUUUAGAGUUAUAUUUGGAAGAUUGUGAAAAUUGUUGGGACAAAUUAACACUGCUAUGAUUUGAAAAGAAAUUGAAGAUGACACUAACAGGAUGGCUGGGAAAUCAAAUCAAAUAUCUCCUACCGCCAUUUGGAAGAUAAGUAUUUCUCACACAUUCUAUUGAUCGAGUAUGAUUAACUAUUGUUUGUUUACAAGGCUUUGUUUGGUGAUCUAAUGUCAUAUAACUCAACUUACAAUGUGUAUGUGUUAUCUAUAUGUUGUGGUGUCUAUUUCUGUAUGUCUUACAAUGCAUUUUGAUUUUAGAGUUACAUUUGGAAGAUUGUGAAAAUUGUUGGGACAAAUUACCAUGGCUAUGAUUCGAAAAGAAAUUGAAGAUGACACUAACAGAUGGCUGGGAAAUCAAAUCAAAUAUCUCCUGUCUCUAUUCAUCUCAGCAUCUACCUGCCAAGUGUUGUCAAUUUGAUGCCGGUAGAUCUGCAUGUUUUAGCAAAGGUCGCAGUAGAGGGACAACCAGAAGUGAGUAUUCGUGAUGACAACGACUACAUAUCGAGUCUCAUAGGAGGAGAACUAAAGAUUGCAAUGAUCGGAGAUGACAAGUCAAGCUCUAAUGUCAUCGUAAAAGAGUCGGAUUGAAAAUAACAAUGACAGAGUUGGCAAGUGAUAAUACAUAGAGCGAAAAGAAAAGCAAUAUGAUGAUAGAAAUUCAUUGUCUGUCAAUCCACUGAUAUUCUUAGAUGUAAUUCAUGAAUCCCGACAGUCCUCUUCCAAAUCCAGAUAGAGAUUCGAGAACAUUGCGACUAGUUCGAUGAAACUCGCAAGUGCAGUAUAGCUCGAGAAAUGAGAUACAUGUCGCGACUGGUUCAAACAAGAUGAUGCAACACAGAAGCUCGACACAGGAUGUGACUAUAAAUCGGAAGGACUCACAAUCUCCAAUACCCGGAUGGCUAGGAAAUCAAAUCAAAUAUCUCCUGUCUCUAUUCAUCUCAGCAUCUACCUGCCAAGUGUUGUCAAUUUUAUGCCGGUAGAUCUACCUAUUUUAGCAAAGGUCGCAGUAGAGGGACAACCAGAAGUAAGCAUCCGUGAUGACAACGACUACAUAUCGAGUCUCAUAGGAGGAGAAAUAAAGAUUACAAUGAUCGGAGAUGACAAGUGAAACUCUAAUGUCAUCGUAAAAGAGUCGGAUUGAAAAAAACAAUGACAGGUCAGCGUUUCUUUUGCUUCUGCUUCUCGAAUAUGAAUAGAAGUGUGUCAUCCUAUGUUCCAAUUACAAUAGCUUCAGAUGAUGGAGUAUCGAGGUGACUUGGAAUUGGCUAAAGUAUAAAGCUCUUAGAUUUAAUUACCCUAUUGUUAAUUAGAUAUUAAAUCCAUUUGGUUGCUUACAAACUUACAAUGUUGAUGGGGUAUUGAGAUCAAUUCUAAAAUAUUACUGAUCGUCAAUACGUCUGUUUGGUCGUAGUUAGUGUUUGAAUUAUUAAGUAAUUCUCAUAUUUAUUCGUGUGGUUUGUUAGAAUGCUACUUGGUGUUGGUUUUUCCAUCAACCUUGGUUGGUCGAGCUUAUUCGGGACAUGACCUGCUAACUAUUUUUUUGGAUAAUCUUUGGAAGGAGCAUUUUUAUCUUUGCUGUAGUGCAUUAUAGCCUUUUUUUCUUUGGCUCAUGUUCUGUUUUUCUGUUUGGGGAAUAAGAGGCGUGUAGGGGUGGACAAGUUGUAACUCAUAUUUUGUUUUUCUUUUGGGAGCAGUAUCUCAUGCAUGAGAUUUGUAUUCUGGCAUAUCUUAUGCCUUACACCUUUUCUUUAAUUUAAUGUUACCGCCUUUUCAAAAAAAAUAUUGAUAUCCAAUCAAUAUCCACCCAAAAUAUUGGUGUGAAACGCAUUAUGAAGUUUUCAAAUAUUUCUUAAGUCUAUCUAGAGACAAAAAGAGGGAAAGACCAGAAUUUUGAAUUUAAAGGCAUUAGAGAUGAAGAAAAUGAUGUUCUCAUAGCUGAACUUAGAGACGAGGAAAUAAGAAAUGUUUGGGAUUCUGAGAGUUUGAAGUUCCUUGAUUCAUAGCAUAGAUUUCAGUUUUAUUAAUGAGCUUUUGGAUGUAAUCAAAACAGACUUUCAUAUUCAUUGUUGAAUUUAAUUCAAAUGGUGUAACAGUGCGUGGAGCUAUUAAUGCUUUUUAGUAUUGAAUCCAAAGAUAAAGAAUCUAGUGAAGCUAAGCCAAUAUCUUUAAUUGACAGCAUCUAGAAAGUGAAGCUAGGCCAAUAACUUUAAUUGGCAGCAUCUAGAAAAUCUUAGUAAUGUUAUAUGCAAAUAGAUUGAAGGUGGAGGAUAUAAAAACUAUCUCUGAUUCGUAAAUCGCCAAAUACCAAAUAGGAGGAAAAAAGAACUGUGAUCCCUGAUUCGCAAUUCGCCGUAGGCCAAAUAGGAGGAAAAAAAGAUGUUAAAAGUAGAAUUUGAAAAAGCAUAUGAAUUUGUCGACUAAAAAUAGUCCCAAAAGUCUAUGAUAUUUAUUUGUGUUUUGUUUUCUGUUUUUUAUCCAUCUAAUCUAAUCUAAGUUGGCCGUAUCAUUAAAUUUAUCAUUGUACCAGAAUGAAUUUGUCAUAGCUGGAUCACUUGAUUUGCGAUAGAAUUAUAUUAUAUUAAUAUUAUUGUUCCUUCAUUGGGAUUAAAUCCAUUGGUUGUGCAAGAUAUUGUGUUCUAGUUUUAAUCAUUUGCUUAUUACUUGAAGUCACGGACAACGUUGGAUCUAGUUCUAGGAUUGGUUUUUUAAAAUCUUUUUGGUUAUUUUAAGGGGCUCUGUUAAUUUGAUAAAAUAUUAAGUGGCUGGCCAAAGUAAAAUGAGACUUAUAAGACUAAUCAAGGCGAUCAUGGUUUUGAUUAAUUGGUUUGGAUUAAUCACUGUUGGAAAAAUGUUGCUAUGGAGUAAAUUGAUGGAGUUGAUCAAAUAAAAAACAGGUCAGGUGCUAGAUGUUGCGUGAUAGAAGAUUUUAACAGUUCUUUCACACGUGCCUCUUAAAUAGAAGAAAAUUGAUGAGAUUAAUUGUAUAGAAGAAAAAUUGAUGAGAUUAAUUGUAUAGAAGUAGAUGGAACAAAAUAGAUAGGGGUUCAUGAGAUAAAGGAUGAAGUUUUUUAUUAUUUCUCAGGUCUAUUUAGAUAGCAAAAGAGGAAAAGAUUGGUUAUGCAGAAUUUUGAAUUUAAACACAUUUGAGAUGAAGAUAAUCAUUUUCUCAUAGAUGAAUUUCGUGAAGGAAUUAAAGUAGACUUUCAUUUGAAUGGCAAAAUAGUGCAUGAAGCUAAUCAUUUUUUUUAGCAUUGAUUCCAAAGAUAAAAAAUUUGGUGAAGCUGGACUGUUUUAGGCCGACAUCUUUAAUUGGUAGCAUGUAGAAAGUUUUAAUAAAGCUAUUGGCAAAUAGAUUGGAGAUGGUGGCUAAAGUUUUCUUUGAUUUGCAAAAUUAUCUUUGAUUUGCAAUUCUAAUAGAUGGUAGGUGGAAUACUCGUAGCAAAUGAGUUAGUAGAUGAUGCAAAUAGGAGGAAAAAAGAAGUGUUGAUGUGUAAAGUGGAUUUUAAAAAAGUGUAUGAUUUUGUGGAUUGGAAAUAUUUGAGAACUUAAUGAUGGAAAAGAAAAAGGGAUUCAACGAUAAAUGGAAAGGCCAGAUUUUAGAGUGUCGUCAAACUUCAACUAUUUCAGUGUUGGUCAUCAGAAGCCUCGCAAAAGAAUUUGAAGUUAGUAGAGAACUAAGGCAAGUUGAUCCUCUACUGCCUUUCCUAUUUUUGAAAGCAGCUGAAGGUUUUAACUUCCUAAUGUCAAAAGGAGUAACUUCCUAUACAUAAGACGAAGUAGUAAAUGUGUUAGAUUGUAAGGUUUGAACUACAACAUUCAAAUAUUUGGACAUUCCUAUGGGUGGUUAGGGUGGUAAUCAUAGAUGAAAGGAGUUAUGAAAACUGGUGAUUGAUGCAAUAUCGAGAAGACUGUCCAAGUGGAAUAAAUGCCGCUUAUCUAUUGGUGGUAGAAUAGUGUGUAGUGCUAAUAAUUCUUUUUUAGCAAUGGUUCCAAAGAUUGAGAAUUCUGUGACGCUAAACUAUUCUACUGGUAAAAUAGUGUGUAGAGCAAAUAAUGCUUUUUUAGCAUUGAUUCCAAAGAUUGAGGAUUCGGUGACGCUAAACUAUUCUAAUGGGAAAAUAGUGUGUAGAGCUAAUAAUGCAUUUUUAUCAUUGAUUCCGAAGAUUGAGAAUUUGGUGACACUAAACUAUUCUAAUGGAAAAAUAGUGUGUAGUGCUAAUAAUUCUUUUUUCGAAAUGGUUCCAAAGGUUGAGAAUUCUGUGACGCUAAACUAUUCUAAUGGCAAAAUAGCGUGUAGAGCUAAUAAUGCGUUUUUAAUAUUGAUUCCAAAGAUUGAGAGUUCGGUGAAGCGAAACUAUUCUAAUGGCAAAAUACUGUGUAGAGCUAAUGGCAAAAAUUUCUAAUUUGUUUAUCUAUAUGUGGCAUUUGUAUUUUAAGAUGACAUGAGAUUAUAGUUGUCUAGUGUUGCAGAGUUGACAAGUGAUAAUACAUAGAGGGAAAAGAAAAGCUAUAUGAUGAUAAAAAAUUAAUUGUUCUUCCAUGUAACUAUAGUAAUUUGAAUUGGUAAAGUUUUUAACUUUAUCCUUAAAGUUUAGUAUUUUUUUAUUUAACUUAAUUGGUUUCUGUUUCUGGGGUAUUCUUCUGGUGGGAGCUGGUUUUUAUGGUAGAAGUACUUGUAAUUGGGGUCCAUAUGUCUCUAUUAUUAGGUUGUUAUCUUUGAUAGUUAAAAGGGUACUUGUGUUUUUAUUUAAUGUAAGGUUCUCUAUAGAUAAAGGCCUACUUAUUUUUGUUGCUUCUGAUGUUGCAACUGACCCAAUCUAACCCAAAUUGCAGCUUGGUUGAAAACAUCUUUGACCCUUGAAUGUUGAAUUUCUUACAUAGUUAUUACGUAACAGCAUAUGGUUAUCUAUUAUUCUUAGUGAGCAAAGUUAUAAAUAUUAAACAAUUUGUUUCUAGAUAGAUGUAUGAACAUUUUGGCCUAGGAACCAUUCAUUACAAUUCAGGAGUCCUCACUCUGAAAGCUACAUUUUACUAUGAUCAAGUGUAUGUCCGGUUUCAUGUUUCGAGCACUCAAAAUUGAUUUUACAUAUGUAGAAUUGAUUUUGACAUGUUUAGUUAGUAGAUUGCAGUUUGAGGUUUGGGCAAUUUCAAUUUUUCAAUGAGUAACAAAUUGUCUGAAAAUACAUUUAUUUUCCAUCAAGGGACAUAGGUUUUCAUUGGUAUGACUCUAAAUUGACAGUUCAUAGUCAUAAUUAUGCAAAAGUGGAAUAUGAACCUUCAGUUUUGAACUGUUGGAGGAUGUGAUUCGUUGAGACUUGGUAGCUGCAUUAUGUAUAUUUGGAGUUGCCUAUAGAGUGAGCAAAAGAGAAUAAGCAUGGGUUCAUACGCACAUUGGCGUACAAGCACAAAUCGCCAAGUUCUAACCGCUUUCACAUUUCCCUCUUGCUUGAUUUCUUGAGUUUCUCGAUUUGUUGAUUAAAUUAUUUAUGGUUUUUGAAUAGUUAUCAGAAUUAGGCAAAUGAUGAAUCUGAAAUGGUGUAAAUGGGUAAUUCGCAUCUAAAUAUCGUUGAUGUUAAAAUCACCUUGGAUAACUGAUGCCCUAAAUUCUAUUGAUUUUUAUGUUUGUUAGCUUGUUUCUCUGUUUUGUUCUCUGUUUUUUUGGAUCCAUCUAAUCUAUAAUGAUCUUAGCAUUAAAAUUAUCAUCGUACUAGAAUGAAUUGUUCAUUGCUACAUGGUUGGAUCACUUGAUUUGUGAUUGAAUUAUAUUAUUAUAGCCCUUUUAUUGGCACUAAUGACCCUGUCAUAGUUGAAUUUAGAAAGGAGGUAAUAGAAAUGUUGGUUGUGAUUGCAAGAGAUCUAAGAAUCCUGACCCGAAUAACAUAAAUUUCAAGUUUAGUAAGUAGUUUAGGGAAAGCGUAUUUUCACAUAUUCAUUGCUGAAUUUCAAUUUCAUGUCAAAAUAGUGUGUGGAGCUAAUAGUGCUUUUUUAGCAUUGAUACCAAAGAUUGUGAAAUUGGUGACGCUAAACUAUUCUAAUGGCAAAAUCGUGUGUAGAGCUAAUAAUGCUUUUUUAGCAUUGAUUCCAAUGAUUGAGAAUUCGGUGACGCUAAACUAUUCUAAUGGGAAAAUAGUGUGUAGAGCUAAUAAUGCAUUUUUAGCAUUGAUUCCAAAGAUUGAGAAUUUGGUGACGCUAAACUAUUCUAAUGGCAAAAUAGUGUGUUGAGCUAAUAAUGCUUUUUAAGCAUUGAUUCCAAAGAUUGAGAACUCGGUGACGCAUAACUAUUCUAAUGGGAAAAUAGUGUGUAGAGCUAAGAAUGCGUUUUUAGCAUUGAUUCCAAAGAUUGAGAAUUCUGUGACGCUAAACUAUUCUACUGGCAAAAUAGUGUAGAGCUAAUAAUGCUUUUUUAGCAUUGAUUCCAAAGAUUGAGAAUUCGGUGACGCUAAACUAUUCUAAUGGCAAAAUUGUGUGUAGAGCAAAUAAUGCUUUUUUAGCAUUGAUUCCAAAGAUUGAGAAUUCGGUGACGCUAAACUAUUCUAAUGGGAAAAUAGUGUGUAGAGCUAAUAAUGCAUUUUUAGCAUUGAUUCCCAAGAUUGAGAAUUUGGUGACGUUAAACUAUUCUAAUGGAAAAAUAGUGUGUAGUGCUAAUAAUUCUUUUUUAGAAAUGGUUCCAAAGAUUGAGAAUUCUGUGACGCUAAACUAUUCUAAUGGCAAAAUAGCGUGUAGAGCUAAUAAUGCGUUUUUAAUAUUGAUUCCAAAGAUUGAGAGUUCGGUGAAGUGAAACUAUUCUAAUGGCAAAAUACUGUGUAGAGCUAAUGGCAAAAAUUUCUAAUUUGUUUAUCUAUAUGUGGCAUUUGUAUUUUAAGAUGACAUGAGAUUAUAGUUGUCUAAUGUUGCAAAGUUGACAAGUGAUAAUACAUAGAGGGAAAAGAAAAGCUAUAUGAUGAUAAAAAAAUUAAUUGUUCUUCCAUGUAACUAUAGUAAUUUGAAUUGGUAAAGUUUCCGACUUUAUCCUUAAAGUUUAGUAUUUUUUUAUUUAACUUAAUUGGUUUCUGUUUCUGGGGUAUUCUUCUGGUGGGAGCUAGUUUUUAUGGUAGAAGUACUUGUAAUUGGGGUCCAUAUGUCUCUAUUAUUAGGUUGUUAUCUUUGAUAGUUAAAAGGGUACUUGUGUUUUUAUUUAAUGUAAGGUUCUCUAUAGAUAAAGGCCUACUUAUUUUUGUUGCUUCUGAUGUUGCAACUGACCCAAUCUAACCCAAAUUGCAGGUUGGUUGAAAACAUCUUUGACCCUUGAAUGUUGAAUAUAUUAAAAAUUUUUGUUUCUAGAUAGAUGUAUGAACAUUUUGGCCUAGGAACCAUUCAUUACAGUUCAGGAGUCCUCACUCUGAAAGCUACAUUUUACUAUGAUCAAGUGUAUGUUCGGUUUCAUGUUUCGAGCACUCAAAAUUGAUUCUACAUAUGUAGAAUUGAUUUUGACAUGUUUAGUUAGUAGAUUGCAGUUUGAGGUUUGAGCAAAUUCAAUUUUUCAAUGAGUAAGAAAUUGUCUGAAAAUACAUUUAUUUUCCAUCAAGGGACAUAGGUUUUCAUUGGUAUGACUCUAAAUUGACAGUUCAUAGUCAUAAUUAUGCAAAAGUGGAAUAUGAACCUUGAGUUUUGAACUGUUGGAGGAUGUGAUUCGUUGAGACUUGGUAGCUGCAUUAUGUAUAUUUGGAGUUGCCUAUAGAGUGAGCAAAAGAGAAUAAGCAUGGGUUCAUACGCACAUUGGCGUACAAGCACUAAUCGCCAAGUUCUAAUCGCUUUCACAUUUCCCUCUUGCUUGAUUUCUUGAGUUUCUCGAUUUGUUGAUUAAAUUAUUUAUGGUUUUUGAAUAGUUAUCAGAAUUAGGCAAAUGAUGAAUCUGAAAUGGUGUAAAUGGGUAAUUCGCAUCUAAAUAUCGUUGAUGUUAAAAUCACCUUGGAUAACUGAUGCCCUAAAUUCUAUUGAUUUUUAUGUUUGUUAGCUUGUUUCUCUGUUUUGUUCUCUGUUUUUUUGGAUCCAUCUAAUCUAUAAUGAUCUUAGCAUUAAAAUUAUCAUCGUACCAAAAUAGUGUGUAGAGCUAAUAAUGCUUUUUUAA